This 2781-nucleotide long non-coding RNA is filed under the name Sus scrofa (pig). Its description in RNAcentral is "lncRNA (ENSSSCG00025065047.1)". Lineage: Eukaryota; Metazoa; Chordata; Mammalia; Artiodactyla; Suidae. The record is from RNAcentral.
UUUUUUUCUUUUUUCAAUGGUGUGAAAGUAAUAGAUGUUGUAGGUCUGUGAAGAAGGAAAAGGAGAAAGAAAUGCAGAGUGGAACUGCCUGUUUUAUAGGGAAAAGAGGGUGAGAAAAGCGACUCUAGAGGCGACAAAGAGGAACAAGAGGAAGAGGGAAAAGGGAAAGGAGAAGCAGCAGUAGGAUUCAGAAAAAAAGGUGAAAACAGAAGAACAAUGUUUUGAAAACCUUAAAGGUAAGUAUGAGAGACCACGGAUUAUUGUUAGAUGUUGGUGUCAUGCCUGGGAAUCACAUUUUCUCAUUUAUAAAAUAGAGACAACUGUAUACAAUCCUUAUAUGAUUUUGCUAGAUUAGUAAUUAUUUCAUAAAGUGUUGUCAGAAUGAAGUCAAUGCAUGUAAAGUGCUAAAAACGUGUCUAGCACAGAGAAAAUAUUCAAUAUUGUUCACUACUGUCACAGCCGUUGAUGUUGCUAGUAAUAUGAGUGAGUAUCACUGAAAAGCAUGUAAAGUGCCAAAUAUUGCCAGGUGCACAUAAGUUUUUAAUAAAUAUUAUGACCAUAAUAAGUUAUUAUUACUAUUGUUAUUACUAUUUGAAUAAAAAUGAGACAUAAACUAACCAAAACAUUAAAGAAUGAAAACAUAAAUGAAAAGACCAAGGAAAUAUGGGGAAAGCACAAAACAAACUCAAAAUAACAAUAAGGCAAAACUUCAACUUUGAUACACUAUAACUAUAUAUCAUAAACUAAAAACAGAAGGCAAAACAAAGAAAGGAAAGAAAACAAAUUAAUCUCUUAUGUUAGAUACGAAGAGAAAAUAUAAUUUUCAGAUACUAUGACUGUAUGAUAGGAAAACACCAGAGUGCCAAGAUUGUCUCUACAUAAAAAUCAAGAUUUUUUUGUGUCUCUGUACACAAAGAGACACAAAGAACAUGCAAAGAAAGACCUCAUACACAAUAGUGUAUAACAUAGAACUAGAUUUAGAGCAAAAAUAAGAAUGAAAGAUGGAGAUACACUGAUACACUCAUGAUAUCUAAGAAUAAACUGCACAAUGUGUAGACUUUGAUAAAGUAAAUUAUAGUCUCUGCUCUUAGACAAAAGGCUUAAAUUUAGGUUCAGAAAUAAAAUAUGUUUCUUGGGGGGAAGAUAAAAUGAUUUUUAAAUUUAUUUGGAGAAAAAAGUCAUGAAAUUUAGCAAAGAGAGAGUAGUUAGAGCUAAUUUACCCAACAUGUAUUAAAUACAAUAAAAAGGGGUACUAAGUAGAAUACAUGCUUACUACUGAUGGAAUUAGAUAAUAGUAGCAGCAUUUACAAUUUCUUUAUUCCAUGCACUGUUGAGUGCUUUACAUGUAUUAACUAAUUUUAUCUCACACAUAACAAUGCUGUGAGGUUACCUCCAUCCUAGAGGAAGAAAAGCAGAGCCACCAGACUAAAUAACAAUCAUACCCAACUUCCACAGCUGGUGAGUGUGGGACUGUACUCAAAUCUAGGCUUCCAAUCCUCAGAGCUUCUUGUAAAGAUGUUUUAGAAGAACUUAAUAUAUGAAAAAGGUUUAAUCGUGUACAUAAUUUAAUAUGUCAAGUAAUACCUAAAAGUUUGAAAUGAAACCCAAUAUCUCACUCUUAUAUACACACACACCCAACUUCCACAGCCCAAAGGCAGUCACUUUCAAUUGUUUUGGUGUUGCUGUUACUAUCUAAUCUAAUCUUAGAUUCCUAAAUGUAAAAGUUACAUUGCUGUUUCCCGAUAUUUUCCGUUUUAGACCUCUUCUAUUGACAUCCAAAGGUGAAAGAUGAGGGUUUCUCUUACAAGGUGAGUUUCCCAUCCUCACCUUAUGGUAAGUAAACCAUAGGUGGUUCAGGCAAUACUGACUGUUACAUCAUAAUAAUGUAAAUGUCACUCUCAAAGUCAGAUGUGGACCAUGAUCACACGUCCCUUCUUGGAACAAUGCGCUACCCCCUUUUGGAGUUAAUGCCUGUCCUGUUUUCUUUGUUGCUUUGUCUCCCGGUACCUAUCACAAACUCAAUCCCCAGUAUCUCCGCUAUGAUCAUAAAUGUCCUCAAUAUAAACCGAACACACCAAUCAAUCCUAUUAGCUUCAUUUUGCUUUCCUGGGAAACAUCCAUGCUCUCCAUCUUCCUGCUUCUAUCUAUUCAGAAAGAAUGGUUUCUAGACAAGCUUCGCAGAUGCCAUCAGGGUAAAUCACCAUAGUUCCAAGACCUUUCUUCACUUCUCUCUUGCACUGAGUUUCUUCUUCCUGGAUCUUGUGUUUUUCUUUCUUUGUUUUUAUUUUUUAUUUUUAUUUAACCCCUUCAUGAUGGUGGCACUCAUCCUCAAGUGGCUGUUGAGAAAGUGUGUAAGAGAUGUUUAAAAACUUGCUUUCUCUGAAAAUGUCCUUACUCUACUCUCACAAUUAGAUCAAUGAAAGUCUGGAUGAGUAUGAAAUUUCAGGUUAUAAAAAUUUACCUCAGAAAUUUGAGGACACUGCUUCUAGCUUCCAGUGUUGUAGUGGAGAUGACCAAAUUGAUUCUGAUUCCUGAUCUUUUUUUUUUGGGGGGGGGGCACAUCCAGAGCAUGUGGAAGGAAGUUCCUGGGCCAGGGAUCAAACUCAUGCCACAGUGCAGUGACCCGAGCUACUGCAGUGACAAUGUCCACUGGGCUACAAGGGAACUCCUGAUUCCUGAAUUUUUGUAUGUGACCUACUUGUUUUGCUUUUCCCUCACUGGAAAGUUUUAGUUCUUCUUUUUAACUAUACUGUUUUGAAAUUGCAGUUAUGUAUUUUGGUG